GCGUGAGAAAGGGGAGGGUCUGGCGCGCAAAUAUCCCCUCACUGCGAAAACGCUCGGAUCCCAGGGGGACUCGGGCCGGAUCAUCGGGUCAUAGCUCUUAGGACGGUGUCGUUUUGUAACCAUUGAGAUUGGCCCAAACGGCGCCGUAUCUGCUCUCAUAUAAAGGCUAAACAAUGCCUUUAUUCCAAAGCCAUUCCAGAACCCUAGCCUACCCCUCCUUUUCUCCUUAGCCGAUCCCUACCUCUUUAGCACCGAUCUACCUUCACACGCAGCACUCGACCAGUUUGGGUUUUGAAGGGCUACCUUGUAGCCUCUAAACUCCCCUUAAAACUCCGAUUUCGAUGGAGCAAAGGAAAACCGAUGGCCCUAAAGCAAGGUACGGUUGUGCGCUUGGGUACGGGGCCGUGUGCUAGCGUUCGGGGCGUGGGCGUGGCGCCAGGAGGCCGUACGGAGGCGUGGAGGUUGGGACUGCUGCGGCGCAAACAAGCUGCUAGGGUUCUACCCUAAUUUUUGAGUCUUGGGUCACUUGGGCUUAUCGUAUUUGGGCUCGGGUUUAUUUGUAAAUGGGUUGAUUUGGGCUUGUAUAGGGUCAUGUAUUAAUUUUGGGUUUUGGACUGUAAAAAGGAUAUUUAAUGGACUGUGGUUAUUUAUUUAUUUAUUUUA
Long non-coding RNA from Gossypium arboreum, 663 nucleotides. RefSeq lists it as uncharacterized. The transcript is spliced from 2 exons. NCBI's taxonomy places the organism in Eukaryota, Viridiplantae, Streptophyta, Magnoliopsida, Malvales, Malvaceae. The record is from RefSeq and is a predicted model, not a curated record.